RNAcentral lists this long non-coding RNA (236 nucleotides) under Setaria italica (foxtail millet). Its description in RNAcentral is "long non-coding RNA (SITA_LNC003890)". Lineage: Eukaryota; Viridiplantae; Streptophyta; Magnoliopsida; Poales; Poaceae. The record is from RNAcentral.
UAAGACUUCACUUGGAAAGUUCCCAUAGAGGUCGUAAUGACCGGAUGACGGUACUUACAAACUUGCUUGAGAUCGAAACCAAUGCAGCCGUACGCGCAAGAAGGAACUCGUUGAAACUACUCUACUGCUACUCCUAGGGUUUUGGUGGCGUGGCGCCGAAAGGUUGUAUUGAUUGAUUGGUGAUUAUUCAUUACAAGGCUCAUAGGCUGAUACUUAUACCCUAGAGUAAGUUAAAA